Molecule: transfer RNA, 65 nt
Filed under: Dipodomys ordii (Ord's kangaroo rat)
Lineage: Eukaryota; Metazoa; Chordata; Mammalia; Rodentia; Heteromyidae
Rfam family: tRNA
About the family: Transfer RNA (tRNA) molecules are approximately 80 nucleotides in length. Their secondary structure includes four short double-helical elements and three loops (D, anti-codon, and T loops).
Source: Rfam by way of RNAcentral
GGUGGCUCAGUGGUAGAGUGCUUGCCUUGCAUGUAUGAGGUCCUGGGUUCGAUUCCUUAGCACCA